This 565-nucleotide ribosomal RNA is filed under the name Trichosporon sp. enrichment culture clone MM 4028. Its description in RNAcentral is "eukaryotic LSU rRNA". It matches the Rfam family "Eukaryotic large subunit ribosomal RNA", at positions 70 to 628 of the family's 3401-position model. The record is from RNAcentral. Lineage: Eukaryota; Fungi; Basidiomycota; Tremellomycetes; Tremellales.
AAGGAUUCCCCUAGUAACGGCGAGUGAACCGGGAAGAGCUCAAAUUUGAAAUCUGGCAGUCUUCGAUUGUCCGAGUUGUAAUCUAUAGAAGCGUUUUCCGUGCUGAACUGUGUAUAAGUCCCUUGGAACAGGGUAUCAAAGAGGGUGACAAUCCCGUACUUUACACAAUCAUCAGUGCUCUGUGAUACGUUCUCUACGAGUCGAGUUGUUUGGGAAUGCAGCUCAAAAUGGGUGGUAAAUUCCAUCUAAAGCUAAAUAUUGGCGAGAGACCGAUAGCGAACAAGUACCGUGAGGGAAAGAUGAAAAGCACUUUGGAAAGAGAGUUAAACAGUACGUGAAAUUGUUGAAAGGGAAACGAAAUUCAUGAAUCAUGUUUAUUGGACUCAGCCGUUCUUCGGUGUACUUCCUUUAAACGGGUCAACAUCAGUUUUGUCCGAUGGAUAAAGGUAGUAGGAAGGUGGCUCUCUCGGGAGUGUUAUAGCCUAUUGCUGCAUACAUUGGAUGAGACUGAGGACUGCAGCUUGCCUUUAUGGCCGGGGUUCGCCCACGUCAAGCUAGGAUGUGA